GAUGAACGCUGGCGGCGUGCCUAACACAUGCAAGUCGAGCGAGAAAUCAUUCUAUUAAUCUUCGGAAGCGUAGAACGAUGGAAAGCGGCGGACGGGUGAGUAACGCGUAGGCAACCUGCCCUAUACAGGGGGAUAGCCACGGGAAACCGUGAUUAAUACCUCAUGACACCAGAGAUACACAUGUAUUUUUGGUCAAAGAUUUCAUCGGUAUAGGAUGGGCCUGCGUCUGAUUAGCUAGUUGGUGAGGUAACGGCUCACCAAGGCAACGAUCAGUAGCCGACCUGAGAGGGUAAUCGGCCACAUUGGAACUGAGACACGGUCCAAACUCCUACGGGAGGCAGCAGUGGGGAAUAUUGCACAAUGGGCGCAAGCCUGAUGCAGCAACGCCGCGUGAGCGAAGAAGGCCUUUGGGUCGUAAAGCUCUGUCCUAGGGGAAGAAAAAAAUGACGGUACCCUUGGAGGAAGCCCCGGCUAACUACGUGCCAGCAGCCGCAGUAAAAC
This 501-nucleotide ribosomal RNA is filed under the name uncultured bacterium. Its description in RNAcentral is "bacterial SSU rRNA". It matches the Rfam family "Bacterial small subunit ribosomal RNA", at positions 28 to 526 of the family's 1533-position model. The record is from RNAcentral.